Rhagoletis zephyria (snowberry fruit fly) is the source of this 116-nucleotide long non-coding RNA. RefSeq lists it as uncharacterized. The record is from RefSeq and is a predicted model, not a curated record. Lineage: Eukaryota; Metazoa; Arthropoda; Insecta; Diptera; Tephritidae.
UAAAUAUCGUCGUUUAAAGUAAAAAACUGCGUAUCUGACAUUUGCUGCCAAUAAGCUCUUGACUCAAUCGUUAUCCAUUCGACCUGAGAUAUACCAGCCAGAAAUGCGUUUGCUUU